UCCUAAGGUUUGUUUAGAUAACUGUUCCUGCACGGCUUAUGCUUAUGAACGAGGAAUCGGAUGCAUGAUUUGGAGUGGUAGCUUAGUUGAUAUGCAAUCCGAUUUGAGUAAUGGCAUUGAUCUUUAUAUUCGGGUAGCGCAUUCAGAACUCGGUGAGUAAAAAUCUCUAGUGGUCUCUCUUGAUUUCUUCCCCCAUUCAACUUUGACUUCAUUGCCUUACGUUUUCUCACCAAAUCUUGUAGAUACACAUAGGAAUCGAACAAUUAUUAUCGCAGCAUCCGUAUUGGGCGUUGCGUUUAUUGCUGUGGUCUGCGUUCUUUUAGCAUGCCGGAAAUUA
RNAcentral lists this long non-coding RNA (337 nucleotides) under Eutrema salsugineum. RNAcentral's name for it is "long non-coding RNA (ESAL_LNC001810)". Lineage: Eukaryota; Viridiplantae; Streptophyta; Magnoliopsida; Brassicales; Brassicaceae. The record is from RNAcentral.